Stegodyphus dumicola is the source of this 972-nucleotide long non-coding RNA. RefSeq lists it as uncharacterized. NCBI's taxonomy places the organism in Eukaryota, Metazoa, Arthropoda, Arachnida, Araneae, Eresidae. The record is from RefSeq and is a predicted model, not a curated record.
AGUACGCGAUAACUUUGUUACUCCAGGCAUUAAAAUUCAGCCUAAACACUUGCCAUUCAAAUAAAGAGCAGAGAUUCCCGAAUAGUGCAUUCAACGUUCAUUCUUUACUUAGAGAUUGCUGCUUGAUUUAAAUUUGGCUUAUCGGAUGUUGAUAAAGUUCCAUUUGGUGAUUAAGGUAUUUUUAGUUCCUUCAUGAGGAACUUCAAAACCCAUGCUAUUUCACCGUUUCUUCUAUAUCUCUGUCAUUGUGGUUAGUACAGAGAUGCAUGUGAAGGGAGAGAGCAUGUGGCUGAAGACAUGAGGAAAGGGGAAUGUCAACGUAUCAUCGCAUGGACCCGAAUCUCGGAUCUUCGAAUUUCUAGAUGAACAUGCUAACCACUUACCAUAUCACUCAUGGAAGAAUGAAAUAAUUGCUUAUAUUCUUUCCUAUUUAAAAACAAUUGAGGUCAAUAAUGAGAUCCAGUCAUCAGAUCCAUGUAAUUAUGAGUUAUCAUCUCCCAUGUUUUAGUUCGAACAUUACAGUAGAUAUCCCUGGGGCGUUUCUGCAAAUAGUGUGUGCAUGCUCUGCAGUACUCAAACGCACAAACAAUCUAACUUUAAAUCUUUUGCUCUAGUUUUUAUAUUCAAGAAACUUUAAGGGUUAUACUUUUCCCGUACAAAAUACGAGUAUUUAUAUAUUUUUAAUUCUACCAUAGUAUUUUUUCUUCAGGUGCCAUUAGGUCAGGAAGAGAAAACUUAACUGAAGAAUCAAAAUAAAGAAUUUCAUUUGGUGGCACUGAUUUAUGUUAAAUAAUCCUCGGGUCUUUAAACUUGCAACAUAAAUAAUUAUUUUAGAAAUCUUCUGUUGCUAUUAUUUCAAAUUAAAUGCAUGUUUCUGAAUCUACAGAAGUAAAUUUCUCCUAGUUAUUGCGUCUGAUAUUUUAAGAUUUCUAGCCUGAGAUACACGUUUUUCCCCUUAAUGUGAGAAAAAAA